Molecule: ribosomal RNA, 459 nt
Filed under: uncultured bacterium
Lineage: Bacteria
Description: partial 16S ribosomal RNA
Rfam family: Bacterial small subunit ribosomal RNA
Source: RNAcentral
CCUACGGGAGGCAGCAGUGAGGAAUAUUGGUCAAUGGGCGCGAGCCUGAACCAGCCAAGUCGCGUGAGGGAUGACUGCCCUACGGGUUGUAAACCUCUUUUGCCGGGGAGCAACGGGCGCCACGUGUGGCUCCACUGAGAGUACCCGGAGAAAAAGCAUCGGCUACCUCGGGGCCAGCAGCCGUGGUAAUACGGGGGAUGCGAGCGUGAUCCGGUUUUAUUGGGUUGAAAGGGUGGGUAGGCGGAUCGUUAAGUCAGGGGUCAAAUUGAGGGGCCCAACCCAUUCCCGCCAUUGAAACUGGCGCUCUUGAGUGGAAGAGAAGUAGGCGGAAUGCGGGGUGUAGCGGUGAAAUGCAUAGAUAUCACGAAGAACCCCGAUUGCGAAGGCAGCAUGCCGGCUUCCGACUGACGCUGAAGCACGAAAGCGUGGGGAUCGAACAGGAUUAAUACCCUAGUAGUC